UGUCUUGGGCCAGGGCCGGGUCUGAUUACCAAAAAUACAUGUCAAAUUCACAAAUACUUUCUUUUUCUCCCAUUUCAACUCCACCUUCAACAGUUGAUUAUAAAAAUAUAAACUGUUUUUUUCUGCAUAAUUACGAAAGAAUGUGCAGAAAUUCCCAGAAAAGGGCUUCUUUCAAGAUUCAAGCAGCAAAGCUUCCUGCUGGAGUAUGUUUUCCUUUUGUAUUUGUCAUUUCCUUCCUCAUUUUAUAUUUUAAUGCUUCAGCCAGCUCUGUCUUUGAGAGGAAUGUAAAUCUUAGGAUUCUUAAGAUUGAAUUUUUCAUUUAUUUCUGUUAGUAAUUAAAACGUAAUUAUUUUUCAACGUUUAUAUGAAUUAAUUUAAUUUAAUUUUCAGAUGGAAUUGCCAAAACAACAACCAAAAUUCAAUGCCCCGUUUCUUGGAUUCACUAAAACGGCUGAAAUUUGGAACUCUAGAGCUUGUAUGUAGGGUUGGCAACGAUUCGAUUAUGG
RNAcentral lists this long non-coding RNA (506 nucleotides) under Olea europaea subsp. europaea. Lineage: Eukaryota; Viridiplantae; Streptophyta; Magnoliopsida; Lamiales; Oleaceae. The record is from RNAcentral.